UAAUGGCAGUCGAAUUGAAUCUAAUCAAAUUGAAUUGAAUGUAAAUAAGUGCAGUUCUUCCACCGGUGUUGCCUCUGACACCCUCCUCCGAAGGUCCGAUGACGUGGCAGCAGAAACUGAGAUUUGGAAACGGCCUGCAGCCAUGGAUUCUCAGAUGUCUCAUGUGUGCUGACACCAGUGGAAAACACAGGCAUGUGCUCAGAUGGAGGCCAAGUGGAGGAGGCUCAUCUUCCCUCGCGUGAACAUGGUCCAAUUAAAAAUCAUCUUCCCUACAUUCUACCACACCUUGGUAUGUGGUACGUCAGGUGAGCAAGUGAACCCAGGUUUCAGGCACAAACCCGCCCUACUGGCUCCACAUUUAUUCUGCAUAUGAAGUUGAUGUCCUGCCUGUGAUCCAAGCCCAGGGGCCAGAGACUCAUCCCCAGGUCCAGUCAAGACAGUGGUUCAUCACUAUUGGAGCAUUCAUGUUUGAAGCCUGCAAACGGAAGACAAGGAGAGAAGAUGAUUCCUGGGGAAACUGAAUAGAAUUAAACAAAGACCCAAAAUGACCAAGAAUCGAGAAGAUUUUUCAUUUUCAUGCGUUCACAGCUUCUCUAUGAACCAUCCCCAUCUAGUGUCUGGAAAACGUAUGUGCACCUGUCUCCAUGACUCCUUCUAUUAUUA
This is a long non-coding RNA of Synchiropus splendidus (mandarinfish), 663 nucleotides long. RefSeq lists it as uncharacterized. The transcript is spliced from 3 exons. The record is from RefSeq and is a predicted model, not a curated record. Lineage: Eukaryota; Metazoa; Chordata; Actinopteri; Syngnathiformes; Callionymidae.